RNAcentral lists this ribosomal RNA (115 nucleotides) under Pteropus alecto (black flying fox). Lineage: Eukaryota; Metazoa; Chordata; Mammalia; Chiroptera; Pteropodidae. The record is from RNAcentral.
AUCUAUGGCCAUGCCACCUGAACAAGCCCGAUGUCUGAUCUCAGAAACUAAGCAGGGUUGGGCUUGGUUAGUACGUGGAUGGGAGACCACCUAGGAAGACCAGGUGCUGUAGGCA